This 332-nucleotide unclassified non-coding RNA is filed under the name Hevea brasiliensis (rubber tree). The record is from RNAcentral. Lineage: Eukaryota; Viridiplantae; Streptophyta; Magnoliopsida; Malpighiales; Euphorbiaceae.
AAAUGUUUUUUUUUUUUUCUUUUUUUCAAUUGCUCCUUGUUAUUAUUUUGGCGCAUACUGUGCUGUGCUAUCGUUGUGUUGUGUCCCGGGUGAUGUUAGAACUUCUCUGCAAGCUGACAGUUUGAGAAAGUAUAGGGUGUAACUCGAGCAGACUUUAAGAUUGUAUUAGCAAGUCAACUGUUUGGAGAUGGAAGGGUAGAAUAGUAAUUUGACUUUUGUUUGUAUAUUUAGUUAUUUAUCUAUCUUCUAACCGGUUGCGCAGAUGGAUCCUUGAGGUGAGGUCCGCAUUCAGUAGUGACGUGGAAGGGUUUAGGAGGAUUAUUAGAAUUAUU